UACGUAGGGUGCGAGCGUUAAUCGGAAUUACUGGGCGUAAAGCGUGCGCAGGCGGUCCGUUGUGUCUGCGGUGAAAUCCCCGGGCUUAACCUGGGAAUGGCCGUGGAAACUGGCGGGCUUGAGUGUGGCAGAGGGGGGUGGAAUUCCGCGUGUAGCAGUGAAAUGCGUAGAGAUCCGGAGGAACACCAGCGGCGAAGGCGGCAUCCUGGACCAUUACUGACGCUGAGGCGCGAAAGCUAGGGGAGCAAACGGG
This 253-nucleotide ribosomal RNA is filed under the name uncultured bacterium. RNAcentral describes it as "partial 16S ribosomal RNA". It matches the Rfam family "Bacterial small subunit ribosomal RNA", at positions 524 to 776 of the family's 1533-position model. The record is from RNAcentral.